Molecule: ribosomal RNA, 1371 nt
Filed under: uncultured bacterium
Lineage: Bacteria
Description: bacterial SSU rRNA
Rfam family: Bacterial small subunit ribosomal RNA
Source: RNAcentral
GAUGAACGCUGGCGGCGUGCCUAAUACAUGCAAGUCGAGCGAACGGACGAGAAGCUUGCUUCUCUGAUGUUAGCGGCGGACGGGUGAGUAACACGUGGAUAACCUACCUAUAAGACUGGGAUAACUUCGGGAAACCGGAGCUAAUACCGGAUAAUAUUUUGAACCGCAUGGUUCAAAAGUGAAAGACGGUCUUGCUGUCACUUAUAGAUGGAUCCGCGCUGCAUUAGCUAGUUGGUAAGGUAACGGCUUACCAAGGCAACGAUGCAUAGCCGACCUGAGAGGGUGAUCGGCCACACUGGAACUGAGACACGGUCCAGACUCCUACGGGAGGCAGCAGUAGGGAAUCUUCCGCAAUGGGCGAAAGCCUGACGGAGCAACGCCGCGUGAGUGAUGAAGGUCUUCGGAUCGUAAAACUCUGUUAUUAGGGAAGAACAUAUGUGUAAGUAACUGUGCACAUCUUGACGGUACCUAAUCAGAAAGCCACGGCUAACUACGUGCCAGCAGCCGCGGUAAUACGUAGGUGGGCAGCGUUAUCCGGAAUUUAUGGGCGUAAAGCGCGCGUAGGCGGUUUUUUAGUCUGAUGUGAAAGCCCACGGCUCAACCGUGGAGGGUCAUUGGAAACUGGAAAACUUGAGUGCAGAAGAGGAAAGUGGAAUUCCAUGUGUAGCGGUGAAAUGCGCAGAGAUAUGGAGGAACACCAGUGGCGAAGGCGACUUUCUGGUCUGUAACUGACGCUGAUGUGCGAAAGCGUGGGGAUCAAACAGGAUUAGAUACCCUGGUAGUCCACGCCGUAAACGAUGAGUGCUAAGUGUUAGGGGGUUUCCGCCCCUUAGUGCUGCAGCUAACGCAUUAAGCACUCCGCCUGGGGAGUACGACCGCAAGGUUGAAACUCAAAGGAAUUGACGGGGACCCGCACAAGCGGUGGAGCAUGUGGUUUAAUUCGAAGCAACGCGAAGAACCUUACCAAAUCUUGACAUCCUUUGACAACUCUAGAGAUAGAGCCUUCCCCUUCGGGGGACAAAGUGACAGGUGGUGCAUGGUUGUCGUCAGCUCGUGUCGUGAGAUGUUGGGUUAAGUCCCGCAACGAGCGCAACCCUUAAGCUUAGUUGCCAUCAUUAAGUUGGGCACUCUAAGUUGACUGCCGGUGACAAACCGGAGGAAGGUGGGGAUGACGUCAAAUCAUCAUGCCCCUUAUGAUUUGGGCUACACACGUGCUACAAUGGACAAUACAAAGGGCAGCGAAACCGCGAGGUCAAGCAAAUCCCAUAAAGUUGUUCUCAGUUCGGAUUGUAGUCUGCAACUCGACUACAUGAAGCUGGAAUCGCUAGUAAUCGUAGAUCAGCAUGCUACGGUGAAUACGUUCCCGGGUCU